This 561-nucleotide ribosomal RNA is filed under the name uncultured bacterium. RNAcentral's name for it is "partial 16S ribosomal RNA". It matches the Rfam family "Bacterial small subunit ribosomal RNA", at positions 355 to 902 of the family's 1533-position model. The record is from RNAcentral.
UGGGGAAUUUUGGACAAUGGGCGCAAGCCUGAUCCAGCCAUGCCGCGUGCGGGAAGAAGGCCUUCGGGUUGUAAACCGCUUUUGUCAGGGAAGAAAUCUUCUGAGUUAAUACCUCGGGAGGAUGACGGUACCUGAAGAAUAAGCACCGGCUAACUACGUGCCAGCAGCCGCGGUAAAUACGUAGGGUGCAAGCGUUAAUCGGAAUUACUGGGCGUAAAGCGUGCGCAGGCGUUUUGUAAGACAGAGGUGAAAUCCCCGGGCUCAACCUGGGAACUGCCUUUGUGACUGCAAGGCUUGAGUGCGGCAGAGGGGGGAUGGAAUUCCGCGUGUAGCAGUGAAAUGCGUAGAUAUGCGGAGGAACACCGAUGGCGAAGGCAAUCCCCUGGGCCUGCACUGACGCUCAUGCACGAAAAGCGUGGGGGAGCAAAACAGGAUUAGAUACCCUGGUAGUCCACGCCCUAAAACGAUGUCAACUGGUUGUUGGGAAGGUUCCUUCUCAGUAACGUAGCUAACGCGUGAAAGUUGACCGCCUGGGGAGUACGGCCGCAAGGUUGAAAACUC